GAUGGCCGAUCGUAUAGGUGCGGUCUCGACUCAAACUGACACGAUAAUGACCGAUCGUAUAGGUGCGGUCCCAGAAACUGAACUGACAUGACAAAGAGAUGGUCGAUCGUAUAGGUGCGGCCCCGACUCAAACUGACACGAUAAUGACCGAUCGUAUAGGUGCGGUCCCAUAAACUGAACUGUCAUGACAAAGAGAUGGCCGAUCGUAUAGGUGCGGCCCCGACUCAAACUGACACGAUAAUGACCGAUCGUAUAGGUGCGGUCCCGACUCAAACUGACACGAUAAUGACCGAUCGUAUAGGU
This 303-nucleotide long non-coding RNA is filed under the name Vitis vinifera (wine grape). RNAcentral's name for it is "long non-coding RNA (VVIN_LNC004149)". The record is from RNAcentral. Lineage: Eukaryota; Viridiplantae; Streptophyta; Magnoliopsida; Vitales; Vitaceae.